GACGAACGCUGGCGGCGUGCUUAACACAUGCAAGUCGAACGGAAAGGCCCUGCUUGCAGGGUACUCGAGUGGCGAACGGGUGAGUAACACGCGGGUGAUCUGCCCUCCACUUCGGGUUAAGCCUGGGAAACUGGGUCUAAUACCGGAUAGGUGCCAUAUUUAGUGUGAUGGUUGGAAAGUUUUUUCGGUGUAGGAUGAGCUCGCGGCCUAUCAGCUUGUUGGUGGGGUAAUGGCCUACCAAGGCGGCGGCGGGUAGCCGGCCUGAGGGGGUGGACGGCCACAUUGGGCCCGAGGGACGGCCCAGACUCCGAAGGGAGGCAGAAGGGGGGAAUAUUGCACAAUGGGCGCAAGCCUGAUGCAGCGAGGCCGCGUGGGGGAAGACGGCCUUCGGGUUGAAAACUCCUUUCGCUAGGGACGAAGCUUUUUGUGACGGUACCUAGAUAAGAAGCACCGGCUAACUACGUG
This 465-nucleotide ribosomal RNA is filed under the name uncultured bacterium. RNAcentral's name for it is "partial 16S ribosomal RNA". It matches the Rfam family "Bacterial small subunit ribosomal RNA", at positions 28 to 507 of the family's 1533-position model. The record is from RNAcentral.